GACGAACGCUGGCGGCGUGCCUAAUACAUGCAAGUAGAACGCUGAAGAGAGGAGCUUGCUCUUCUUGGAUGAGUUGCGAACGGGUGAGUAACGCGUAGGUAACCUGCCUUGUAGCGGGGGAUAACUAUUGGAAACGAUAGCUAAUACCGCAUAACAAUGGAUGACACAUGUCAUUUAUUUGAAAGGGGCAAUUGCUCCACUACAAGAUGGACCUGCGUUGUAUUAGCUAGUAGGUGAGGUAACGGCUCACCUAGGCGACGAUACAUAGCCGACCUGAGAGGGUGAUCGGCCACACUGGGACUGAGACACGGCCCAGACUCCUACGGGAGGCAGCAGUAGGGAAUCUUCGGCAAUGGGGGCAACACUGACCGAGCAACGCCGCGUGAGUGAAGAAGGUUUUCGGAUCGUAAAGCUCUGUUGUAAGUCAAGAACGAGUGUGAGAGUGGAAAGUUCACACUGUGACGGUAGCUUACCAGAAAGGGACGGCUAACUACGUG
This 497-nucleotide ribosomal RNA is filed under the name uncultured bacterium. RNAcentral's name for it is "partial 16S ribosomal RNA". It matches the Rfam family "Bacterial small subunit ribosomal RNA", at positions 28 to 507 of the family's 1533-position model. The record is from RNAcentral.